GUGGCGGUGGUGGGCGGCACCGGAAAGUUCCGGCUAGCUCGUGGCUACGCCACUUUUGAGACUCUUUCGUAUGACCAUGCGUCUCAUUAUGCUGUCAUUCAAUGCAAUAUUACUGCACUACACUACUAGUAGAAUUAGAUACUUUAUCCGUCCAUAUAAUUAAAUGUACUCCCUCCGUCCCGCGAAGCAUGACACACUUUCCAUUUUGGGUUGUCCCACGAAGCAUGACACGUUUCCUUUUUUGUCAAUAAUUAUUACAUUUUCUCUCCUACUUUAUCACCUUUAUUAUAUCCUCUCACCUACUUUAUCACUUUUAUUACCUUCUCUCUCCUACUUUAUCAAUUUUAUACUUUAUUAAUUACACACUUAAAACACUAAUCUACAAUUCCUUAAUUCCCGUGCCGAACUCAAACGUGUCAUGCUUCGCGGGACGGAGGGAGUAUUUAGUUUGUCAUCUUUAUUCGUCCAUAAUAAUUGUACCCAGUCUAUUUUUAGUAAAUUUUCACUUAUAAUUAAUAAAUUGAGACUAUUUCUCCACUCACAACACACUGAAUUAUUUUAUUAGAACUUGUGUCAUUUUAAAGUGUGGAAUUUAUAAGUACUUAGCAAGAGAAUUUUCCUUUUCAAAAUGUACCUGAGUUGUAACUCAAAAAAAAAAAAAAAGAAGGAAUUUUCGUCUCAAAUUUUGGAUAUGAUAACGGCAUUGUCUAUCAAAUGAAUAAAAUUUAUAGCUCAAAUUCAAUAAUUUGGUUAUACACUUAUACUCGAAUUUUUUUUGUACAUUAUUCUUGGUUAUAAAUGCGACUGGUGUAUCGCUGUUAAGUAUUUUUUAAGCAAGAGUUUAAUUAUUGCGAUUCGUUAAUUCAUAAAAGUCCUCUUUAUCAUAAUAGUAAUUAUUUUAUUAUUAGUAUUACUAUUAUUAUUAAUAAUAUACAUAAUUGUUUUUAUACAGUUCUGGCAAUAAUACUUGUAAUAAAUGAAUGCAUGUGAGAUAUUAAUGAUAAGGUGGACUGAGUCUAGUGCUUGAACAGGUCAGAUACACAAUUCACAUAUUUCUCCAUCUAACUGUAAUCAUUAAAAGUUUUUAUUUAAUUUUAUUUUAUUUGGAGAAAACUGGACACUUAAAUUCUUUUUCUAUUUGCUAUAAUAAAUUAUACGAACUAUAAAUUAUAAAAAAAAGAUUAAUUACCUAUAAAUAUGCGAACUAUAUCCAAAUUUUGGUUUUUAAACAAAUCUAUUUUGCAAUAAAAAUACACAUAAAUUAUUGUUUUUUUUAAAAAAAAAUUGACCUAAGCUCAAAGUUCGUUGGCUAAUAAUUUGAUUGUCUGAAAUUCAAUGGGCAAUCCGAAGAUGCUGUUGGAAAGCUCUUUAAGUUAUAUUUCUAAUAAUACUCAUAUUGUUAGAUUUUGAUAACUGAUAGUGGUCGAAAAAUGACAUGAAAAUCGAUGUCAUGAAACUCUAUAUUUAUUUUUCCCACCACUUCCGGUGAAACCCAACAAUAUGGGUAUCAUCAAGAGAUUUCCAGCAAUACCUUCAAAUUCUAAAAUGUUUAAAAAUUUAUGUAUUUGUUGACCAAAAAAUAGUUCAGAUUAAAAAUCAAAAUUUAGGUAUAGUUCUUGUAUUUAUAGCCAAUUAACCAAAAAAAACCCUAAAAGAGUUUAUAUAGAGUUAUAAGUCCAUCUCUUGAAUACACGAUGCGAAAAUCAUAUUUUUUUUAAAUAAAUAAAUAAAUUACUUGAUAUAGCAAGUAUUUUGAAAUUGAUUCAUAAGCAUUAAUUAUUUCACUAUUCCAACCACAACUUUUAAUAAAUUUAAAUUUUAGAAAUCAAGGAUUUAAAUGGACCUCUCUACUCUAUGCUAGUGUUUGUGUGUGUGAGUGUUUUGCAAAGAAAUAUCCUAUCGAACUUUGUUAAUACUAUUAGUUGACCCAUGUUUUAUUUCCCAUCACUCUACAAAAACCUUAAAUAAGAGAGAGAGAGAGAGAGUGAGUGUCGGUAAGUUGAAAUUUGAAAGUUAAUUACCAGUUUCAACCCCUUAUCUGGAUUGACUUUUUGAACAUUAAUGACUCUCCCGCCACUUCCCCAUCUGCUCAAACGCGUCGAUGUAACCAUGCAAGUUUGUUUGCAUUAAUGGCGGGUAGAUGUGAGUGAGUUGUUCUUGUUCCUCCAUUUUUGCUCUAUAUAUAAGCUGCAUGCAGCGUUGAAGCGAGAUAACUAAGCCUUUUUUGAGUUUGAUAGCAAUGGGGUUUUCUCAAAAAUGGGUGUGUGGUUUGGCCCUUCUCAUGAUCUUGGUGUUGAAUUUGAGUGGAGAGAUUCUUGGUGAUGAAAGAGUUGACAAGGAGGGUUGGAGAGAGGACGAUUGCAGGUAUAGCCGGCGCGGCUGCUACGGCCGUGGGAGGGGCGGUUGGGGUGGGCCCGGAGGGGGCCGUGGAGGCUAUGGUGGAGGACGCGGUGGUGGUGCAGGAGGAGGCGGAGGCCUUGGUGGUGGACGUGGUGGUGGAGGUGGACUAGGUGGUGGACGUGGUGGUGGAGGUGGAGGUGGACUAGGUGGUGGUGGUGGAGUUGGAGGGGGUGGUGGACUUGGUGGAGGAGGAGGAGGAGGAGUAGGGGGAGGUUCCGGGAGUGGAGGAGGAUUUGGAGCUGGAGGUGGGGUUGGUGGGGGUGCCGGUGGAGGAGGAGGUCUUGGAGGGGGUGGAGGAGGAGGACAAGGUGGUGGAGGCGGGAUCGGGGGUGGUUCUGGCUCGGGUGGAGGGUUUGGAGCGGGAGGUGGUGUUGGAGGCGGAGCGCCUAUUUGUCUUCUGGAAUCUGGAUUCUGAUAAUUGGUAAGUUUGUUCGAUUGUUCCGUUCCUUUUAAAUUUUUAAUGUUGAUUUUCAUUUUUUUAAUAUCUUCGGCUUUCGCCGCCUCGGCAAAUAUUAGGAUAUAGUAAUCACGGAAAAAUUCUGGUAAAUUACAUCACGAAAAAUAUUAGAAUAUAGUCAUAUAGCCGCAAUAAGUUAGUAGUUAAUCGACAUUAUCUAAUUCAAGUCAAAUUAUUNUGGUUCCGGUUCCGGUGGAGGGUUUGGAGCGGGAGGUGGUGUUGGAGGCGGUGCAGGUGGAGUAGGUGGAGGAGGUGGUGGUGGGGGUGGAGGCGGAGGUGGAGGAGGUGGUUUAGGGGGAGGAUCUGGCCAUGGUAGUGGAUUUGGUGCCGGAGGUGUUGGCGGUGGUGGAGGUGGAGGCGGAGGAGGUGGUGGCGGUGGAGGAGGAGGUUUAGGUGGUGGUUCGGGGCAUGGUGGUGGGUUCGGUGGUGGUGCUGGUGGAGGAUUGGGAGGCGGAGCUGGUGGUGGCCUAGGAGGUGGAGCUGGCGGAGGGCGUGGUGGAGGAGUUGGUGUAGGUAUCGGCAUUGGGAUUGGCGUGGGAGUAGGCGGUGGUUCCGGCUCAGGCACCGGCGUUGGGGUAGGCAGCGGCUCCGGCGGUGGAGGUGGCCGAUGAAGAUAAUUAUGUUAAAAUAUUUACUACAUAACUUUGGCUUCUUGAUGUUUCUCCUUUUCAAAAUAGAAUUAUAUCGUGUGUGAAAGUUGUAUUGCAACAGUUCCUCUUCAAUUAUAGCCUUCUUUAACAAACAAGAAACAGAAGGCAAGUAAAUUUAAUGAAUUGAAAAUUAUCUUUUCUUGAAUUAUCUUCAAC
This 3663-nucleotide long non-coding RNA is filed under the name Salvia miltiorrhiza (redroot sage). RNAcentral describes it as "long non-coding RNA (SMIL_LNC007276)". The record is from RNAcentral. Lineage: Eukaryota; Viridiplantae; Streptophyta; Magnoliopsida; Lamiales; Lamiaceae.